Pyrgilauda ruficollis (rufous-necked snowfinch) is the source of this 375-nucleotide long non-coding RNA. RefSeq lists it as uncharacterized. The transcript has 3 exons. The record is from RefSeq and is a predicted model, not a curated record. NCBI's taxonomy places the organism in Eukaryota, Metazoa, Chordata, Aves, Passeriformes, Passeridae.
UUUGCUUACAGGUGCAAAAAGAAUACUCAGAUUUGUCUGUGAUUAUCUUUAGGGUGGGUCUCCAUCACUGGAAAACGUUGACAGUUUCUUUCCAUGAUUCUGCACGUGAUCUUCAUUCAUUUUCUCCAAAGCUUCAAUCUAGAGAGCCAAAAAUAAAACCAUGCUGAAAUCAUAAAACCAUGCCAGCAGCAGAAGGCUUCUAAACAGCAUUAAAAAGCAGCUUUUGAGGCCAGAGCAGGCAUGAAAAACAACAGAUUCUUUUCCCGUGCUGAUGCAGCCUGUGAUGGUCUCCAGCAUCCCAGAAUUGACCAUCUUGUACAGAAGUAAACGUGUUUUAGGAUCCACUGCUUUCUCCUACAAGAGAUGAAUAAGAUU